RNAcentral lists this ribosomal RNA (465 nucleotides) under uncultured bacterium. RNAcentral describes it as "bacterial SSU rRNA". It matches the Rfam family "Bacterial small subunit ribosomal RNA", at positions 338 to 795 of the family's 1533-position model. The record is from RNAcentral.
CCUACGGGGCGCACCAGUGGGGAAUAUUGCACAAUGGGCGCAAGCCUGAUGCAGCCAUGCCGCGUGUAUGAAGAAGGCCUUCGGGUCGUAAAGUACUUUCAGCGGGGAGGAAGGCGAUAAGGUUAAUAACCUAGUCGAUUGACGUUACCCGCAGGAGAAGCACCGGCUAACUCCGUGCCAGCAGCCGCGGUAAUACGGAGGGUGCAAGCGUUAAUCGGAAUUACUGGGCGUAAAGCGCACGCAGGCGGUCUGUCAAGUCGGAUGUGAAAUCCCCGGGCUCAACCUGGGAACUGCAUUCGAAACUGGCAGGCUGGAGUCUUGUAGAGGGGGGUAGAAUUCCAGGUGCAGCGGUGAAAUGCGUAGAGAUCUGGAGGAAUACCGGUGGCGAAGGCGGCCCCCUGGACAAAGACUGACGCUCAGGUGCGAAAGCGUGGGGAGCAAACAGGAUUAGAUACCCCAGUAGUC